RNAcentral lists this long non-coding RNA (1222 nucleotides) under Calidris pugnax (ruff). RNAcentral describes it as "lncRNA (ENSCPUG00000017295.1)". Lineage: Eukaryota; Metazoa; Chordata; Aves; Charadriiformes; Scolopacidae. The record is from RNAcentral.
UGAUUAUUUGGACGGACUGUGCUACUCACUUGAUCCUUAUGGUGCCUUUUAGGAAUCGCAAUUGAAGCUUCAGCUUAAGGACACUGUCAGUUCUUCGCCUCGGGAAGAGCUUGAAGCUGAAGAUGCCAACAGCAACGGGAAACCCAUAACAGAGGAAGAAACACUAGAAGUAAAGGAGGAAACUGCUCUUAUGCAGCAGCCAGGUGCUGGUAUGGAUUAUCUGACCGAGGACAAUGAAGCUGCUGCAGACAUGAUCAGAUAUGUAGGACAUGACUCCAACGUCCACCUGAAGUCUUUGAAGUCAGACAUCGUUUCGGUUACAGGGAGGGAGAUGACUGCCACCAAGCCGUCGACUCCUUUUUCACAGAAAGAGUUUGAAGCCCUUGCAAUGCUGGAACACCUGCAAGUGCAGCUCAUAGAAACAGAGAUCCGUGCCCAGAAUGCAGAGGAGAGAUCUGAGGGUCUUGAAGAGAAGCUGGAAGAAGCUCUGCAGAGAAUCAAAGAGCUAGAGAGUGAGCUGGAGAAAGAAGGGAAAGUCACCCCAGAAGCCACACACGAAGAAGGGCAAGAAAAAUAUUUCCAAGAAAAUGUCCCAGAAGUAGAGGCCUGCUUGAGUCCCAAAACUUCUACCUCUGAUGAGUCCGAAGGAUCCGGAGAAAGCGAAUAUUAAAGAACAGUAAUGCCUGAGUAGUUUCUCAGAGCCCAUUCAACUCACCCCUGAUCCACUGCCUUACUUCUCAUUCACUACCCCAACAUCUCUGUGCUAUCUCAGCAUUUAUGCUGUUCUUCUAGCUGGCUCUGCCACUUCUACAUCUGUCUUCUUUGUCCUCUACUGCCUUCCACAGCUCUAAUAUCUUUACAGAUUGUCUUCCUUGUAAUACCAUAGCAACUUUGUCUUUCUCCUGCCUGUGCACCCUCCCUCCCUUCCCUUGCCUUGUGCUUGCCUCUUGGUUGUGUUCAUCAAUCUCUUCUUGCUGCUCUACAUCAUUCUGCCUUAUCCCUGGUGGAUCAUUCAAGUAAAUCAUUUGCACCUCUUUCCUCUUGUACCAAGGUUGGUUUUUUUUCCCCAGUGCCAGCAUGGCUUGGUUGUGUAUCUGAUAAUGGGUACCUCCUUCAUCCCCUGGGCUUUAGAUGAUUCAGUUACCAGCUGACUGGUUAGGAAGAAAUUGUACAGAAAUUGUGCAGAAUUGUAUGGACAAAUUUUUGUUUGUCUUUGAAUGUU